This 1290-nucleotide long non-coding RNA is filed under the name Solanum tuberosum (potato). RNAcentral's name for it is "long non-coding RNA (STUB_LNC009313)". Lineage: Eukaryota; Viridiplantae; Streptophyta; Magnoliopsida; Solanales; Solanaceae. The record is from RNAcentral.
ACCUCGCCACCUACACCGCUCUUCCUCUCGCCGCCCAGCUGCCGCUCCACCGGUGAACCACUUUGAAGACAAGAGCACUGCCGAUGAUAGUUUCUUACAAAUUGAUUCGGGUAUUGUCUUUCCAAUAUCUUCUCCAUCCAUUCUUUAUUAGAAUUUCUGAAAACAAUUGCAGGAAUUUGCUUUCAAUUAAUCCUUAAUUCUUAUUAUUCUUUGUUGUAGCUUGUUCAGUAUUAUGCGAUAAAUUGAUUUUGCAUCGUAUUAAUUAUGAAUCCAGCCCUGUGAUUUUGAUUACUCUGUCAUGACAUGAUUAAUUAUAAUCCCCAAAUCAAGUGAUACUUUCCCUCUUCAUGUGAUCUCAUGACAGUAUACCUAUGUGGUAAUUGUAGCAAUCUCCUUCUUUCAUUUCUUAAAGCUUGAUUCAUGAUAGAUAUGGUGACUUGAGACAGCCUCGGGUUUAGUAAUUGUUCAAGGUAAACUUUGAUGUUGGCACAUUUGAAUAAUUGCCUCCUUUUCCAUUGUUAACUGAUUUCCUCUCUUUAUUUAGACUGGAACUACUUUAGUACUCUUGGAUUUAUGAAAAGUUUGCCAAGGUCAAUUUGCUUUCCUUCUCUUCUGCUUCAUUUAACUUUGACAACCUCUAGCUUUGGUGUUUUUGGUAAAGAUCGAAUGAUUUUAUGCUCAGUUGAUUCAUAAUCUCUUAUUUGUUUCCUCCACGGAUAUCUUGAUGAAUUGACUCUUAUGAUAAGUUCGAACUUGUCGAAGUUUUUCUUUAUUCUUACAAUGAAUUCCGGCCUGAGUUUACUCAGCAGCUCCUUUGUACUUGGUCUUAUAUUUUGGAAAAUCUGAUUCGGUUGUCGAAGAUAAGGCUUUCCUAGAUUAGUGUUGUGAAUUAUUUUUGCAGUUUUCUCUUCUUGAUUGGUUACUACUUGUAUGCUAAAUAAACAGCUCCUCUCCUCUCUACUUGGCAAGGACUGAUCAAACGCUCUUUCUCUCCAAAAUGAAAUGAUAAAUCUCUUGAUCUCUCCUCCUCAUCUCUACAAUAAGUCUAAACACCGAAAGUUCCUUCCCUUUUGCUCAUUUUUCUCUCCUCUCUAUUUCUCAUAUUACUCUAAGGCUUUCAUAUUGUGGUGCUGUUGAAGCGGCUCGGUUUUGUCUCUCUUAUAAUUAAUUGCCAUAUCACUGGUUAGUUCUCUUAACAUUGCAUUUGAUACUUACGUGAUACCUUUGUAUAUCUUUAAUUUUGUAUCAGCGUUGUGGAUGGCGGUUGCCUCGUCAGCAAUGGCGAAAGGU